This 408-nucleotide ribosomal RNA is filed under the name uncultured bacterium. RNAcentral's name for it is "bacterial SSU rRNA". It matches the Rfam family "Bacterial small subunit ribosomal RNA", at positions 32 to 415 of the family's 1533-position model. The record is from RNAcentral.
AAUCAACGCUGGCGGCGUGCCUCAGACAUGCAAGUCGAACGCGAAAGAGGGCUUCGGCCCUUGAGUAGAGUGGCGCACGGGUGAGUAACACGUGGGUAAUUUACCUUUGGGUGGGGAAUAACAGUCGGAAACGGCUGCUAAUACCGCAUAAUGCAGCGGCUCCACAUGGAGACAGUUGUUAAAGCGGGGGAGCGAGCAAUCGCCCUCGCGCCUGAAGAGAAGCCCGCGGCAGAUUAGCUAGUUGGUGAGGUAAUGGCUCACCAAGGCUUCGAUCUGUAGCCGGCCUGAGAGGGCGGUCGGCCACACUGACACUGAAUAACGGGUCAGACUCCUACGGUAGGCAGCAGUCGGGAAUUUUGGGCAAUGGGCGCAAGCCUGACCCAGCAACGCCGCGUGAAGGAUGAAAUC